RNAcentral lists this ribosomal RNA (406 nucleotides) under uncultured bacterium. RNAcentral describes it as "partial 16S ribosomal RNA". It matches the Rfam family "Bacterial small subunit ribosomal RNA", at positions 30 to 526 of the family's 1533-position model. The record is from RNAcentral.
AUUGAACGCUGGCGGCAGGCCUAACACAUGCAAGUCGAACGAGUGGCGGACGGUUGAGUAAUGUCUGGGAAACUGCCCGAUGGCGGGGGAUAACUACUGGAAACGGUAGCUAAUACCGCAUACCAUCGGAUGUGCCCAGAUGGGAUUAGCUAGUAGUUGGGGUAACGGCUCACCAAGGCGACGAUCCCUAGCUGGUCUGCGAGGAUAACCAGUCACACUGGAACUAAGAAAAGGUCCAGACUAAGACGGUAGGCAGCAGUGGGGAAUAGUGCACAAUGGGUGAAAGCCUGAUGAAGCCAUGCCGAGUGUAUGAAGAAGGCCUUAGGGUUGUAAAGGACUUUCAGCGAGGAGGCGUUACUCGCAGAAGAAGCACCGGCUAACUCCGUGCCAGCAGCCGCGGUAAUAC